ACUUGGCUGGCUCAGUUGGUAGAAUAUGAAACUCUUGAUCUCAGGGUUGUGGGUUCGAGCCCCACAUUGGGUG
Molecule: transfer RNA, 73 nt
Filed under: Ailuropoda melanoleuca (giant panda)
Lineage: Eukaryota; Metazoa; Chordata; Mammalia; Carnivora; Ursidae
Rfam family: tRNA
About the family: Transfer RNA (tRNA) molecules are approximately 80 nucleotides in length. Their secondary structure includes four short double-helical elements and three loops (D, anti-codon, and T loops). Further hydrogen bonds mediate the characteristic L-shaped molecular structure. tRNAs have two regions of fundamental functional importance: the anti-codon, which is responsible for specific mRNA codon recognition, and the 3' end, to which the tRNAs corresponding amino acid is attached (by aminoacyl-tRNA synthetases). tRNAs cope with the degeneracy of the genetic code in two manners: having more than one tRNA (with a specific anti-codon) for a particular amino acid; and 'wobble' base-pairing, i.e. permitting non-standard base-pairing at the 3rd anti-codon position.
Source: Rfam by way of RNAcentral